UUGGAUGGACUAUAUGUCACACCCCGAUUUAGGUUUUUCUCUCUAACCUAAAUCGUGGCAUGAUAAGACAUUUUUGAAAACGACAUUUUUCAACUUAAAUUUUAUAGAAAUUACAUUAAGAAAUUCUACAAAAAUUUUGGCAGCAUCUCCCCUAAAAUUUGAGGUAGCCAAACCUGAAAAUGGAGAUAUCUUCACUUCUAAACGUAUAUAACUAGAUUUCAGAUACUACAACACAACAAGUGUGUCUCACCACACACCUCCAGACAAUCUCAGAGUGCAAGUAGAGUUUAAGAAUCAAGCUAGAUAUUACAUACAAAACGAUUACGUUCUAAUGAGGAAACUUUCAAAACACAAGUCCUUAGCGUCACCCUUGUUACAUCUAACCACCCCAUGAUACAAACGCAAAAUUAUAAUCGAUGACGGGGAUUCAACCGACGCUUAGUCCUUGGCCGCUACCUGGGGAAGAAGAAAAACAUUGAAAACAUAAGCUGAAAGCUCAGUGAAUGACAAAUAAUUAGAUAUGAAAAAUUGUAAAAUAUGCUCAAAAUAACGUGUAAGUAUGCAUUGAUAAUGAAAUAAUUAUAAAUCAAAUGUCAUCAUUACAUAAUACUAUACAACACGGAUCAAGCCGAUAAACCUGUACUCAAUCCACCAUGACAAGGAAUCUAAAUAUACGACCAAGAAUAGCUCGCACAUGAUCAAAGAAUCAUGCGGUCACAACUAGCUCACACAUAUUUAGUACUGACCACGAUAGUAACCUCUAUCCAAUCCGACCAUGAUAGCAUACUAAAUACACGAUCCAAAAUAGCUCACACAUGAUCCAUAUACACAAGGAAACAUGCGGCCAAAUAUAACUCACAUAAUACUUAGCACCUACCAUAGUAACAACAUCCAUCCAAUCCAACCAUGAUAGCAUACUAAAUACACAGUCCAAAAUAGCUCACAUGUGAUCCAUAUCCUCAAAGAAACACACGGUCAAAUGGGGCUCACGCAUACUUAGCACCUACCACAGUAACAACCUCCAUCCGCUCCUAUGUGCACAUAGAGCCACCCACAAUGUGUUAAACUAGGCCUGAAGCCAUAUCUCAAUCCUCCAUCCAUAUCCUCACUUAAACUCAAGUUCUCGGAUCUCUGGUCACGGUCUCUUUCAGCCCCAAAAUCCUCUGACAAUCGUAGGUAGUGCUUCGGAAACACAUUCGUGUAGCUUAUGGGUAAAUCACCAUCAUUAAUAAAAUCACAUAGUUCACACUUAAAAACCAGACAUGGUCCUUAGUCAUCAACACAUACUUUUUUAGUAACAUUUUUAUAAAAAUUCUAAACAUACACAUUCAUAAAAUCAUUGUGAGUAAAUAUGUUGUUUAAGCAUAAAUGGAAACAUAGUUAUAACAAGUUUAAAUUGGAGUAGUUUCCAAGUUAUAUCAUAAAUAACAUGUACAAGUACAAACAAAGCUUGAAAACGAGCCACUCAUAGUCAAUGACUCGAUCUUCCAGGAUUAUAUGCUCUUUCCACUUCAAUUUGGCCUAAAAUAAGGAUCAUGGUCAUAUCAAUAUCUUUAUAUGAUAUGAGGCUACAAUUAAUUGCAAAAGUACUUCGUAAGGUCGCUAAAAUCUAUUUGAUGCUUCUAAUGUCCUUGAAUCUAUAAAGCGCCUAAGAUUAGACUAAACAUUUCACAUACGAUCCCUUAAACUCGCGGAAAUCUCAAUACUUAACCCAAUGAGCAUCCAACUUAGUUCAAGCUCAAUGGGUCCUUUACUCCAUAUUUUUCCAAAAAUUUGCCAGCUUUAAUAGGCUAACUUCAACUACUCAUAACUUCUUCAAUACUUAAUAAACAUUUAUGUACUUUAUAUCCAAAUCUUCAUUUUGGAAUCCUCUACAACUUACUUGAAGGAAUAGAAAUGAGAUUUCCUAGGGAUUAACACAAAAUUCGCCCGAAACGCAGGUAAGGAAAACUCACAUCUUUUGCUUACUUCCAAUUUUGAUCUGAAUUUAACCUACUUUCCUUCAUUUUUAGUUCAUGAUUUGUUUGUGAAAGUUGUAGGAAAUUUAACAAGAGCUCCUAACUCAAAGAGUAUAAUUCAGAAUACAAAAAAAAAACUAGAGACUUUAUGAAUUUGUUUUAAAAAUUUGUGAUCCAACUUCUUCCACAAAAAUCAUCAACUAAACUUGAGUAUUUGCUUGAACUUCCUUCACAACUUUUGUUGAAAAAUGAAUUAACUUUGAAAUAAAACUAACCUUAUAUUUUAAUUCUUCUUGUGUAGCUCAAACCAAAAUAAAAACUACCAAUGGUCUGUGAAAACCAUUCCAAACCUUACCAUUAACUUAAUAAAUACCAUUAACUUCAAUGAACAACACCCCCACUACCUUCUAAAUUCGAAAAUUAAGCAUCCAACAUCAUGGUUUAUUCGAUACUAUCACUAAAAUUAUAUGGGUAUCAAGACUUACUCCAUAAUGCUUAGAAACUUACCCAAGUUGUGCGAAAAGAUCCAAUUCCAAGCUUCCUAAAGGCUGGACAACAACUAAAAUCUUCACAGACUCCAAAUCUAACAACAAAAUUUAAUUGGCAUUGCAAAAUCAAAAUCUGCAAAAUCGAAACUUAAUGGGUGUUCAAAAAAACAUCAAGUAAUCCAACUAAAAUUAGUAAACCCUUACCUGAAACUCCAAAAUCCAACUAUCAAUAACAAGAUUGAGUGAGAGGAAACUCUGUACAUGAGAUUUAUUCAAAACCCAUGCAAUAGUGAUGUGAGUUGUAACUUGAGCAACCAAGGGACGAUGCAGCUCAGAAACAACUGAACCAAGUCGGUGUUGCGUUUCAGAUCUAGCGUGGAUGACGUGUGUUGUGGCGGCUGAUCGUCGACUAGCGAAUCAAACAGGGGUUCCUCGUCGACGUGUGGGUGUGCAACCUAUCAGUUGUGGCGUCUUAGAUUCCUAUCCAAUUCCUAAAAGAAUUAGGAAUGAUAUUUAAGAUUUUUUAAAACAAAUCUAAUUCCUACAAAGAUUAGAAAUGAUAUUUAAUCAUUUUUUAUAACAAAUCUAAUUCCUAAAAGGAUUAGAAAUAAUAUUUAAUUUUUUUUAAUAAUAAAGAAAAGAUAAUUCAAUUAUCUUAUCUUAUUAUAUUCAAUAUUUAAAAUAGAAAAGAUAAUCUAUCUUAUCUUAUUUUAAAUUUUUUCAUUUUUUGGGAUAAUCAUGAGUUUAUUUUUUUAGACAAUCAAGGUGUUUGGAUAUUAUCUCCUAUUUUAAAAUUAAAAUUUGGGUUCAAAAUCCAAGUCAAAUUAACUUACAUAUGUGGCAUUCUAUUUAUCUAAAAUUAAAAUCGAAGUCAUCAAUCCAACUUUAUCCCAAAAUGCAGUCUUUUAUUUAUCUCAAAUUAAAAAUGGUCAUUCCAAAUUCUUGUGCAUCUUGAAGAUAAGUUAGGGUUUGGUAGAAACACAUCAUCCUUAUUUCAAAUUAAAAUUUGGUUAUGUUCCAAUUUUUUUUUUUAGAAAAAAAUGAAAUUUAAAAUUUUAUCUUCAAAUCAAAUUGAAUUAAAGAUAAAACCCGAAACUUUUCUCAAAUUAAUUAAGGUUUAGCCAUAUACCAACUCUUAUUUCAAAUUUAAAUCAAACUUAUGUACUAAUUUCAUAGUUUGAUUUUUUUUAAAAAAAUGAUCAUAUUUUGACUUCAAAUUUAUCUUUUUCGAGAUUCAUUCAUCAAUUACGUGCAUAAAUCUCGAAAAUGGGCAUUUGUUGAAUAUGAAAUUUUAAGACCAAUCAUAAAUUACCACAUCAUUUACUAAAGUAAUGAUGUAAAGUACAAAUAAUUGAAUUUGAAACUAAUUAAAAAAUUAACAUAUGUCCCAAAUUAAAAUUGAAAACAUAAACCGGUCAAUUAUGAUAAUGUCACAUGUUUUGAUCAUAACUUUUGGAUCAAGUUAAUUAUUUUGAUUCAAUUAAAUAUUAUGUAUUAGGGCUAAGUUCAAUUGAGCAAAAAAAAAUAGGACUGUCAAGAAAAAUAACAAAUUAUGACUUUUACUUUGAGAAAAUAACAAAAAUAUAAAUUGUUAAAAUAACAAAACAUAAAAAAUAAAAAAAUAAAUAACAUAUAUGUAAGAUACAAUUGUUCACCUAAAUCUCAAAGACAUUGUAAUUGAAAUAUAUAUGCUACAUAAAAAUUUCCUCCAAAAACAUAAAGAUUAGAAAAUUUUCCUCCAAAAACAUAAAGAUUAGAAAAGUUAUCAUUAAAGGGAAGCUCAAAAUUUAAAAAUCUCUGAAAGUGAUCAUUUUUUCCUUGGAUUUCAGCCGCUUACUUCCUUCUUUCAUUUGAAACCCUAAAGAAAGUAUGAACCAUUUGAAACCAUCAAUUCAUCAAAGAAUUCAAAAGUGGAGCAGUGUUGAUAUUAUAAUAAAGAUGAAAUCAUGAAAUUAUACCAUAGAAUUCAAAACUAAUAUACAUCUUAGCAAGAUACGCAUCGGUGAGUUCGUCUACUCAAUUCGGUGAGUUCUUCAAGUUCUUCAUACAUUCAAGAUUCAUUUGAGCUCUUUUCUUCUCUUGUUUGAAAACAAACUACCUCUCAUUAUAUUUGUCUCUGUUCGGCUGCUUCCUCUCUCAAUCACCUUCUUUUCUUUUCUCUCAUAAAACCUAAAACUAAAAUAUUCAAAUAAUUGUAAAAGUGUCAUUGAAGCAUAAUUAAAUUAUAAAAUUUAAAUUCAAAUUGUUGUUAAAAAUAUAUAUUUAAAAUCAAAUUCAAAUUGUUAUAAAAAAAUAUAUAUUAUAUAUUAUUUAAUAAAUUGUUAAAAAAUGGUUUAAAAUAUAACAAAUUUGAAAAUAUUGUAGAUAAUAAAAUAUAAUAAAUUAUUUAAAAUAUAACAAAUUCAAAUUCAAAUUUAUGAUGGGAUUAGAUUGAGGAAUAGUUGAAAAUCCCCCACUUUUUUAGGAAAAAUAUUUAUUAAAGAUAAGUGAAUUAAAUAAAUAAAUGUUAAUUAAUUUGAUUUAAAUACUAAAAAUUUGAAAAUGGGUUAUGAAUUGUAGACAUAUAUUUAGUAGAUAUUGGAGAAAUCUUGCCAAUCCUAAAAAUAUCAUAAAUUAGUUAAUAUUUUUCAAAACUGAUUGCAGUUUGCAAAUACAUCGUAUCGGUAAAACACAUAUUAUCCUACAUAAAAAGGUAUAAACACGUAUUGUCCUACAUAAUAAGAUAUAAACACGUAUUAUCCUACAUAAUAAGAUAUAAACACGUAUUAUACUUAUUGAUUUAGACAUACAUAGCAAGGAUGAUUGGAAAUAAAACGUCACAUACAAAAUAAAACGUCUAAUUAAAAUAAAUAUGAAUAUUAACGUAAUUAAAAAACACAAUGUGAAAAAAUAAUUAUUUGAUACAAGUGGCACAAUAAGUUAUGUUUUUUUAAAAUAAAAAUCAACCAAAAUAAGUGUAUGAUCAUAAUUAGCACGUUUAUAGGGAUGAAAUAUAAUGACUCAGGAAUUGUUGAAAUUCUCAUAACCAUUUUUUAUAUUAUUCAUACGUACUAUUUAUUAUCUAACAAUUUUUUAAAAAUAAUUUGAAAUAUAAAUCAUAUGAAAAAUAGUGAAUUGAUGAUUGCCAUUAUUUUAGGGUUUGGAUUUCAUAAUAUUUGAAUUCAAAAUAUUUAUAAAUCUAAUGAAUAAGUAACAGUCGAAAAUCUUUUAGCAAUUUUUGCGAAAAAAUCUUUAUUAAACAUCUUUUAUGAAUUAAAUAAAUAAAUGUUAAUUAAUUUGAUUUAAAUACUAAAAAUCCAAAAAAUUGUUAUGAAUUAUAGACAUAUAUUUAGGGAAUAUUGGGGAAAUCUUGUCAAUCCCAAAAUAUCAUAGUUAAUAUUUUUCAAAACUGAUUGUAGUUUGUAAAUACCCUAUAUGUGAUAUUUGGCCUCAUUAUUUGCACGCAAAUACAUUGUAUCUGUAAAACACGUAUUAUCCUACAUACAAGGUAUAAACGGGUAAAAAAAAUCUUUGAUACAUUGUGUGUAGGUUGUUGUGUAUUUACUUCAUUGUUCAAACACGAUGUAUUUCUGAUUGACCCAACAGGUGCAGAAUCAACAACCACGACAAAAUCAUUGUCAGAGAAUUUUGUCAUAAUCCACAUAAGCCACUACACGUCUUCGUCUUCAACAAUCUGAAUAAGGUUUGAACUAUUGCAUCCAUCCCAAUAAAGGGUAAUGUGACACACAAAAAGAUCUAAAGAUGGAAAAAGUUUAUCUUGAAUGCACUGUAAGAAUACUUGAAAUGAAGAUGAGCAUGAAACAAAUACAUCAACCACACGAUACUCAAUAUAUCGAGAAUAUUCCAUCCAUCUUCCAUAAAAAAAGAGUCUUCACAUGUUGCAUUGUCAUUAGAAGAAACAAUAGAUGAUAAAGGUAAAGGAAUUAAAAGAUAGACGAACAAUAAAGUCGACAGUUGCUGAGAAAAAAAUUCUAAAAUAUGAUAAAUGCAAAAUUAUUUACCAAACUACAAAUAAAUUCAUUUGAAUAGUGUUGUACCUCAAAAUAAAAGUCUAAUUAAAAAACUAUGUAGGCUAAAUGAUACAAUUAGAUAAUUUUAGAUAAAAAUCAUAUUAUUCUCUUGAAUUUUUUGGGAUAUUGGCAUUUGAAUAAUAUUGUUUAGUGUUUUGGUGGUCUUAAAUCAAACUUUAAAAUGAACUUUUAAAUAAUAUUAAAUAAUAUCUAUGGAAAAUAUAUCUUAUUUAACGAUAGUUCUAUAAAAGGAUUUUAUUCCCCCUAAUUUCGAUGCAUUUAACGUAUGUAUCAUUAUUUUAAUGAAAAUUUUGUCAUUCAUACACAUGUUAUACUAACAUAUAUUUUUGUUAAAUAAUGUUAAUUCAUUAUUAUUAAUAUGACCAAUUCAUUUAUGAAAUAUUUGUUACAUGCAUAAUUAUAGGGUUUAGGCACGAUACACUAAGUUGUUAUUAUAUUAAAUGCAUAAUUUUAGGGAAAGAUAUAAUUUUAAAUUCAUUUUGAAGAUCUUCCAACUAAAACUUUUAAAAUCAAGUGAUAAAAUAAAUAUUUAUUACAAUAUAUAUAAUCCGAAAACAAUUAAGGAUAAAUAUGAAAAUUUUUGAAUUUAUAUGAUAUGUUUAGAUAUUAAUAAUAAUUAACCAAACCUUAAGGAACGUACAAUGAAUAAAUUAUAAUGAAUCAUUUUAUGAAAAAUUAUGUAUUUAUAAGAUAUAAUAACAUGUUAUUAAGAAUUAAGCAAAGAUUAUAAAACGUACCCUGUAGGAAUAAUAUUAUCAAUGAUUUUAUGGUGUAAAUUAAAUAGUGUGAAAUAAAUAUAUAUUUUAUUAAAAAUAAUUUGUUAAGCAUUUGAUUUGAAGUGUACAAAUCUGAUUAUCGGUUAUAAAUUGAAGGCAUGAAUCUAACAUUUGUUGGUUAAAUGAGAUCAAUAUGAAAAAUAAAUAUUUAUUUAAUAUUAUUAUAAAAUUGAAUUAUAUGCAAAUACACUAUAAUCGUAAUUCUGUGUUACAUUAUAUUAUUUUACGCUGCAGAAAUACACUAAGUGAAAAAAAAUGAGUUUCAUAUUAUCAAUGGAUAAAAUUGGUUCAAAAUUUGUCAAAAAAAAAAAAAAAAAAAGAUCUAUUUCAUGCGAUUUUACCAAAUAUCAAAUUAUUUUGAAAAUUUUAUAUUUUCCAAAUUGUACUAUAUUAUUUUGUCAUUCUCACGCUUAUCUAAAAAAAUAAACUUAAUUGAGUUCAAAAGCUAAAUAUGACUCAAAUCCAUGUGAUUGAAUCCAUGGGUCUGGUCCAUGGACCAACUAGGCUCAAGCCUAUAAAACCCACCAGAGAACUCUAUAAAUAAAGCUCUCGAAUUGCUCAUUUUUUAUUUAAAGGAAAAAGACUGAUUUGUCAUUUCUUGGUCGAUCAUUGAAUAAAACGUAAACACAAGUUAAGUAAGGGCUUAUUAUUGCUCGUCUACAAAUAUCCAAAUUUUUAUGCCUAAUAUCCCAUAGAUAGUUCGAACUGGAUAGCAACAAUAAUCAAUUUUAGCUCGAAUGGUUUGUAGAGGAACCCGUCCUUCUCUGAUCCAUUCGACACGUGCAAUUUCUUUUCCGUCUAUACGUCCGGCAAUUUGUACUUGAAUUCCCUUUGUACCCGCCUGUUCAGUUAAUUCAAUAGCUUUUUUCAUUGCUUUGCGAAAUAUCAUUUGUAAGAGUUGAAAAUUUUUCUCUAGAAAGUCUAGAAAGAAUUCGUCUGUUGAAGUCAAUUGCGCUCCCUUGAAGAUUGAACCUCCUUUGAAGAUACAGACUUUCUUCCAAGACUCAAACUUCAAGAACAUCACAUAUUUCGCUUGUUCAAAUCAAGCACAAGCAUCCAAUCGAGAGAGAAUCAGAUGAUCAAAUUCUAGUGAUCGAACCACAUCGCAUCAAAUCAAUAAAAAUAUAACAUUAACUUAAGUUCAACUUCAUUUGAAUCAAAUUUCUUCUGAAAUCUUGUGUGAACAACAAAUUUUUUGUUAAUCUUGCAAACUGGAAUAAAAAACAAUAAUUACACAAAGAAAAAAGAAAUAAAAUAAAAUAAAUAAUAAAUUAACUAAACAAAAAAAAUAUUAAAAGAUUUCCUUGACGCACGUUUGUCACGUCGGAGAAGGGUUUUUGCCACGUGAUGUUGCAAAAAGCCUUCCCGACGUGCUGACAAUGUGCUCUGGUGAACGUUUUUCCGUCGUCGACAUGAUCUACUUUGGGAAAAGUAUCCCCGACGUUCCUUCUGACGUCAAAGUAAACUUUUCCAACGUGUUUUGAGGUUUUUGCCGAUGUGAGGCUGCGUUGGGAAAGACCAUAUUUCUUGUAGUGAUAAUUGAGUAUUUAAAGUUUUUAUUGAAAUUUUAGUAUCAUCUUUAAUUUUUUAUAAGAGAGAUUUUAUUUAUUUUAGUAGUAAUGAUCUCAACUUAGUACAAAGAGUUGGAUAAUUAUAGUAUUACCCUUCAACCAAUAAUAUAAAUUCAAAUGGAUUAAAUACUAAAAUAUUGUUAUUUCUAAAACUUUUACCAAAAUACUGCAAUUUCAAAAUUGUUUACAAAAGUGAUGUUUUUUUUUCUCUAUCUUCGGGCAAGUCUUCAACACUCACCCAUUUCCUUCUUUUUCUCCCCCUCAAGACUCGCCCAAUCUUUGCCUUUUUUUUUUCUUUUUAAAAUUUAUUUAUUUAUAGUUUUUCAUAUAAAUUUUGUUGUUGUCUUUUUAAAAAAAUUAUUUGUACACAUUUUAACUCCAUGGCCUGUUCUUCUUCUUUUUUUAAUAUUUUUAUAUUAAUUUUUAUCUUUGUUCUUCAAAUUUUCAUAUAAUUUUUAAUAAAAUUUUAUAAGAAUUAUUAAAAUUAUUAUUAUUUAUUUAUUUAUCAGGUAUUUAUGUUGUCAAGUUAUACUAAUACUCUACUCUUGAAAUUUUAAAUUUUCUUAAAAAAUAUUUAAUAACAUUAUUAUUCAUGUAUGUUUUUUUGUUACACAAAAAAUACACUCUUGAAACUUCAUAUUUUUUUUAAAAAAAAUUUAAUUUUGUUUAGAGCACCCAACAAAUUUUAAUGAACAUUUAAAAAAAUAUUAACGUUAUCUUGUGUUUGUUAAUUUAUUUUGUCAAUCAUUCGAGUAUUCCUAAAAUUUGAUUUUUUUUUAAAAUUAGUAUAGUUUAGCUUUUAAGAAAAAAAAUUAUCUUAAAAAUUAUAUGAAAAAUUGAAGAAGAAAGAUAAAAAUUUAUAUGAAAAAAUAUUAAAAAAGAAGAAGAAAAAGUAAUGGAGUUAAAAUGUAUACAAAUAAUUUUUUUUAAAAAAAAACAACAAAAUUUAUAUGAAGACGACCAAGAAGAGGAGAAAAAGAAGGGGGUGAGUAAAAGAAGGAAAUGGGCGAGUGUGAAGACUCGCUCAAAGAGAGAAAAAAAGAAGUAUCAGUUUUGAAAUUGCAGUAUUUUCGUAAAAAGUUUUAGAAAUGACAAUAUUUUAGUAUUUAAUCCAAAAAUUAUGAAGAAAUAAAUUUGGAUUCAUUUUUUUAACCAUUACUAAAAAGUGAAAAGUAGAUAACAAAUUGUAAAGUUGUAAUUUUACUUGGUUUUGAAAGAAUCCUAUGUAUUCAUAUUAACGAAAACAAGUUUCUUCCAGAUUUGAUAACAUUUCUACGUGGGUCCUAAGUAUUUCCCAUUUUAAAUAAACGUUGUGUGUGUGAACUGAAUGCAACUGAAAAACAGCAUGCUUUUUGCACACCAUUUAGAAAGCUGUCUCAGCUUUUUCUUCAUCAAACAGUAAGGGAAAAUGGUAUCAAAUUCUUGAAAAUUAACUUUCUUAACCAUUUAAAUUCCAAUAAUCAACCAGCUUUAUAAACUAAAUAUUUCUUGCAAUUAAAAUUGAAUGAAAGGAAUUUUAUUUAUAAACAGCUACAUCAUCCCCUCCAUUUUGUUCGAACAUAUCCAUUCUUCUCAAACCCUAAACAACAACAAUGCAUUCUCCCAACCUCCUCCUCCUCCUCCUCCUCCUCUUCUUCUUCACUGUUUCAUAUGCAGAACUUUGCCAUCCAAAUGACAAAAAGGUCCUCCUCAACAUCAAAAAAGCCUUCAACAAUCCCUACAUUCUUACCUCAUGGAAACCUGAAGAAGAUUGUUGCACUUGGUAUUGUGUUGAAUGUGAUCGGAAGUCCCAUCGGAUCAUUGCCCUCACCGUCUUUGCCGACGACAAACUCUCUGGCCCAAUCCCACCCUUUGUGGGUGACCUCCCGUUCCUCGAAAACCUCAUGUUCCACAAGCUCCCAAAUCUCAUUGGCCCCAUCCCACCUACCAUUGCAAAACUCAACAACCUCAAAUACCUUGACCUAAGCUGGAACGGUCUCUCUGGUCCUGUCCCCAGCUUCCUCGGCUCCCUUUCCAAUCUCGAUGUUCUCGACCUCUCCUUCAACCGUUUCACUGGCUCCAUCCCUAGCUCUCUUGCCAACCUCCGCCGCCUUGGAACUCUCCAUUUGGAUCGAAACAAAUUGACAGGACCCAUACCCGAAUCAUUUGGAAACUUCAAGGGAAAAGUCCCUUAUCUCUACCUAUCCCACAACCAACUGUCUGGAAAAAUUCCAAUUUCUAUGGGGAAAGUGGAUUUCAAUUACAUUGAUUUGUCGAGGAACAAGCUCGUGGGCGAUGGAUCGUUGAUAUUCGGUUCAAAGAAGACGACAGAAAUUGUGGACUUGUCAAGGAACUUGUUAGAGUUCAACAUGUCGAAGGUUGUGUUUCCUCGAACCUUGACUUAUUUGGAUCUUAACCAUAACAAGAUCUUUGGGGAAAUUCCAACCGAGGUUGUGAAGUUGGAGUUGCAGAUGUUUAAUGUGAGUUACAAUGCACUUUGUGGUCGGAUUCCGAUGGGAGGAAAGUUGCAAAGCUUUGACGUAUACUCCUAUUUUCAUAACAAGUGUUUGUGUGGUAAGCCACUUGGUAGCUGCAAAUGAUGAAAUGGUGAAAUCACUCCCCAACACAUUCUCCAUUAUUAUUAGUGAUUUUAUUUUGUUUUUGUUGCUUUUUAGUAUGUUAUGAGAGUUUGUUUAAGUUGGAAUUUGUACAAAUUUGGAGUCUAGGAACUUAAUUUUUAUGUGGUUUUACCACAUGAAGAAUUUAACUUCCAUCUACGUUAGCCUAGAUAUAUCCAAGUGUAAAUUUUCCAACUGUUAAAGCUAUGUCCGUUUUGUAGUUUGUUAUUAUCUUAUUGUAGCGGAAAAUAACGAGUUUGUGUUUAGCUUGUGUUGAGCCAUUAUACAAAUUCAGUACUUUUGUCUCCAAUACAUUAUCGUUUCAUAGCACACUUUUUUAACUUAUGUACAUAAGAAGAUUUUCUAAGACUGCUAUUAAAUAGAUUAAAACUAAUGUAACCUAAAUUAUUACUAUAAGUAUUUUGUCUACUCUUACAAAAUUUAAUUUCAAACCAUUUAGUUUUCAAUUUCAUGUUAAUUAGAUAAAAUUAGAGUGUUUCAUUUCAAUUUUCUUCCGCAACAAUGCUCGAUUAUCAAUCAAUUUAAAUCUAUCCAUCAACGAUAAAAAUCUAAAAUUUUGUUAUAUUUUAUAAAUAUAUUAAUUUAUUCUAUUAUAUUUAAAAAUACUUCCCUAUUUUAAAUUUCUCUUUUCCUCCUUUUUGUUUUUUUCUUUCCACAAGUUUGUUUGGUAUUAUUAAGGCAAAAGAUGAUCCUCUUGGGCAAGCUGUUGAUAAGCCUUGGAAGUACUUGAUUGAUUUUAUUUUGUAAACGGCCGUACGUUCUGCCAAUAUUCCUUCUUGUGAUACCCGUGAAGAGAGAUAAGUAUAGUGUGUAUACAUUCUUCAACUUAAAAUUUAUUUCAACACAACAUUUUAAUUUUCAUUCAAAUGAGAUAAAUAGAAAAAUUAUGUGUGAUAAAUGCUUUAUGGUAAUGUCAACAUUAUCAUUUUUUUCAUUUGAACUUUUCAAAACAACCAUUUUCCAUUAGCUUUUUCUUUUAAAAUGGAUCGGUUGAAAUAAUUAAAUAUAAUAGGGUGAGUAAGUACAAUGUAUUGAAGAUAUGAUAUAUAUAAGAACUAAAUAUACUUAGCAAACUUAUUACACCUCAACUAGAAAUAAUAUAAUCAAUGUAAUUAUAUUCAAACUCAAACAUUGAUUGCUUAUGAAGGAGACUACAAUGUUUGUCCCAACAUGAUAGAAGGAUUACUCUAGUAGCAGUAUAAUUUCAAAUUACUUGAAUCUGAAACAACGUUUCCACAAAUUUGCUCUUAAAUCAUCUUGAGAUUUUUUUUUAAAAAAAGAACUCUUCCAUUUUCGAAUAGGGUGCAAGAAAUGAUAGAACAAAGUUGCUAUGUACAUACUAAGUGUCUAAAAUAUAUAAUAAAUUUAAAAAAAUAUACAAAAAUGGAAAAGAUUUGUCAAAUUUAGGGCAAUUGAAUCAUGAGUUGACCGAUAUCAAACAUAACUCAUUUUAAAAUUAAGAAACGACAAAUUUAAAUUUUGUAUUUGUUAAAUUUAUGCAUGAAUCAUUAAGUUUUAAUUCAAUCUGAAAAUUUCUAACUUUCAAUUUAAUCUACAAAUUAAAAUCAUUUUUGUUUAUGUUUCAAUAUUCAAAUGCUCGGUUUUGCUCGUUUUAGUGUGAAUAUCCAACACGUGCGCCACUAAAAUAAAAUAUCAAUGAAUUUUAGGUUUGGCUUUACAUCGAUUAUACAAGCGUUAGAGGUGAUCAUGCAUAUAUAGAAAAUCUUAAAUGUCUUUUGUAUUUCGUACCGCUUAUCGUUCUGAACUAAUAUUUUGUAUUACGUACUACUUAUCUUUUGGUUACAAUUUAUCAUUUAAUAUAUAUAUAUCAAACAGAUUUUUUUAAAAAUAUAACAAAACAACGAAAUAUUUACACGGUAUAAAACAAUUUUGAAAACGAAAAAAAGCUCACAACCCACAAUAGAAAAUACAAAAAAUAUUCCAUGAUUAAUUGGCGUAAUAUGUUUGAAAAAUGAUUAAACGAUUUUUUUCAAGAUUUUUUUGGUACGCGAUCGUUUAGGUUUGAUACAUGAUCAUUUAAAUUUGAGUAGCCAAAUCAAACGAUGUUUUUAAAAAAUUUUUGGUACGAUCGUUUAGAUUUGACACGUUUACAUUUUUUGGUACUUGGGGAAAGGAAAACUUAAACUAUAACCCAAAUGCAUAGUGUGUGAUAACUUUAGGAAAACCUUUGGGGAAUACAAGAUCUUGCAUAAACUCAUUUUACAAGGACUUUUCAAAGCACCUCAUCUCAUGCCAAAACUUUUAGCACACAUUAGUCUCUACUUAUUCCUUUUUACCUGGACGUUGAACUCCCUCAAGGCUAUCAUGAUGACUCAUUUCACCAUUAGUAUCACCACAAACCCUUAUUCAACUCCAAUUGGUUAAGCGAUAGACUUGAACAUGGAUCACUUUACGUGUACAAUCAUCCUUCUGCCAAGCGAACCACUUAACACAAGACAACCUCUACUCUUAUGUACACAUAAUAGCUAGCUCAUGAUAGAAAUAAAACUAAUGGUUUAUUUACAUACAAGUAUAAGAAGAAAACGUACAUUUACUCAUAAAACAAACUUUUAACCGUCAAAUUUUUCAUAUUAAACAUAAAUCACAUUAGAACAUGCAUUCUACUUUGCAUAACAUUAACAUCAACAUGACACGAGUUUGGAAAGAAAACUUUGUAAAACAUAGUCCCUUUCUUUAGAAAAGUUAAUCGCGAAGCCUAGCUUUCUUUAACUUAGUCCUUCUUUCCCCUUGUCGCUUGUUCUUUCUAUUUCUUCUCUCUACUAAAUGCCAAACUUCAUGAACUUUUCUUCUCGCCUAAUACACUUUCGACAGAGUUGCAAUACUUAGAGUUUCCUUCAUACUUCCUUCGAAACCUUAAAUUUUAUUUAUAUUAGUCCUAAACUGGAUUAGUAAUCACUUAGCUCAUCUUAGCUUGGUAGCUUCUUCUCAGUGCUUUACAAGUGUAAAUUUAACAUAUUCUUUAACCAUGCUUAACGCUAACCUAACACGUAAGAUGUUGACUAAUUUGGAUUAAAAGCUUUACUUAAAUUUCCAACUUUCUUUCCUUGCCAACAGACCCUUUUUCAGCUAACUUAAAACACACACUCUCCUUGCGUCUGGCUAACCGAAACGUGUACUCUUCCUUGCAUCAUUGGUCAAGUCGAAAAAUACAACGCAUUGCUCUUGUACUUAACCAUUUUCACUCAUUUUACCAUAUAAUACGAGUACUUAACCUAAAUUUCUUCUUUUUAACCCUUCGGCUAGCACACAGGCUUCACAACUUAGGUUGGCAACAUUGGCUAGGCGAGUUGCAUACAUGCGGUAAAGGAAAAACACGCGAGCAAGGGCCAUACAUAAAAGUGUGCGACAAGGCUUAGAUGAGCAUGCAAGUAGACAUGCGGGAAAAAGAAGUUUUAGGCAUUUUGAACAAGAGGUAGAAGUGAAAUCCAGGUAUCAUGGCAUAAAAAUACCUAGGUUUUACAAGUGGAAGGCUUGGGGAGGAAACCAUGUAAGUAGGAGGUGUCAAAACAUUUUCAUGCAAGGUCCAUUUUAAAUAGGUAACUUUGGAUGAAUAGAGUUACCAUUCUACCUAUGCAAAUUUUCUCAAAUCAGGUCCAAAGAACUGUGAGUGAGUCUAAUUGUUGAGACAGGGCUGCCAGACUAAAAAGAGUUGAGGAAGAAGUUCAACUUCUAAGCUAAAGCAACAAAGGUCAUUAUGUGGGUGAGAUUGAGGAAUGUUGAGUUCUUGAGGCCAAUAAAACACAUGACAUGGAAUCUUAAGGUAGAAUUUGAAGGUAAGAUACUUAAGACAUUUCUAAACAACUUUAUGGAAGGAAGUUGUCUCAUUUGAGUUACAAAGUUUAAGUUAUUGACCUUUAAAGCUGUAUUUAAGUUCUAAACAAGAAAGAAGUUUGUGAGCAGAGUUGAAGGUUGACUAAGUGACAGGGAAGGCGAGGCAAGUUGGUCAUGCAAGAUAGGCAAAAUAGGUUAGUUUAGGAUUUGGAGCAUAUGUGAGUAAUAAGGCCAGCUCACGGUUAGAUGACGUGAGGUGUGCGCCAAGGCCAUUUGGCAAGGCCUACAUGCGAGAAGGAUGCACACAACGUGCAAGGUGUCACACUCCAUCCCUCAAGCACCUCAACACGUUGCGUUACGUGGUAUGACUUGAGCAUUCUUGACGUUUUUAAAUGCUAAAAACCUUAGGUUAAGUCUUUAAGCCUUGCUUAAUCACCUAAUGACUUAACUUACAACUUGUAUCCUUAACUUAAGGCGAUAAAACAUAACUUGAUAUACUUUUUGAUAGAGAACCAUAACACAGCGGAAGGUAACAUAAACUUGAACUUUUAUUAGCUUAAACCAUGCAUUUUACAACAAACUUUACAAAUAAAGUCUUUUCAAAAUAACUUUAAACAUAAGCUAAACGCCUCGCCAAGCUUCCUUGUCUAGCAAAAUUAUAUCCGUUUUCCAACUUAGCUUUAACACAUGCUCUCCCCAACCUUAAUGCCUCAAACCUAGUGAAUGGAAACUUUGAAACAUAAGUCAAAAUACUUAGUAAGGUUUUAAGAGAAACCCUUUAGAAAUACAUUUCAUAAACAUCAUCAUUUCAUAUCAUCGCAUAAACAUACAAUAGUCUUGCAUUUCUUUCAUCGAGAACGUGAACCAUUUCGCACUUAAAGACUCAUCUCCUUGUGUUUAGACUACUCUGAUGGUCUUCUCAUUAACAACAUCUGAGAAUAUAAUUUCUUGGUUCAUUCCUCGUUGCUCAGACUGUCAAACACAAUACACAUCUUGUAUACAUUACCAGACUUUAUUUCACUAUGCAUGUCUUUUCUACAUGACCGCCUUUAACCUUAUAUGCAUAUAACAGUUAGCUCUUUUUAUAGAAAUUAAGACUAAUGCUUUAAAACAUAUUUUAUCAUUCAUUUUAGCACAAAACAUGGUUUUAAAAACAUAAUCAUUCAUUUCAAAUACUUUGAAAUCAUUAUUUACAAAUCUCAAAACACAGAGAAAAUGUUAAAAUAUACAAACACUUGAAAAAUAUCACUCACAAAAACUUGGUUUAUCCCUUCUCGCAGAACGCUUAGCUCACUUCUUCUUCUUCUUCUCGCCUAGAAGCAAUCCACAUAGUAACACUUCACUUCACAAAUUCUCAGAUUAAACUCGUAAAACAUUAUGGCUUCUUCCUCUAUUAUUUAUGCUAAUCUUAAAGCUAGAUUAGUCAUCUCAAAGCUUCUAAAAUAUUGUCAGAUCCCACGUAAGGCAUUACGAGCAUAAGCUUAAUACUUCACUUAAUUUUACUUUACUUUCAGCUUAACACAUAACUCAUGUCAAGUCAGAUUAGACAUCUCUUCGCCUGGUUUCUUGUUGCAUGGUACUUUGAUCAAAAUGCCUAAUAGACUUUAAACUCCUGAUGCCUUCUUGACUCGGGUCAUCCUAACACAAACUUCAACACGCAAGCUUCAACGCAAAACGCUCAUUCAACACUUAGUGUUUUGACCCUUCUAUUCCAAACACAAGUCUCAUAUAAGGCGUGCGACCAUGGUGUGCCCGACAAGCCAAGUGCAAUGUUAUCACGUGGCCAAGCUACUGAGAGCCUUGCAUGCGCGCGAGCCACCCAGUUGCCCAUGUCUUGCGCACUAGCCAUUCCAAAGGCCUUUUUUCAGUUGUUAUAUAUAUAUAUAUAGUCAUUUUUAGUAAAGUUUGGAUAUUUUCUAAAGUAAAGAGGUUAAUUAAGGCUUAAUUAUGAUUUUUCAAGGACAAAAAGAGUUAAAAGAGAAUUUCCAAGUCAAGCGGUUAAACUCUGAGUGAAUAAAAUUAAUUUCUAUGUUUAUUUAUGAACAUGAAUUUAAAGCUAAUAGUUUCCUUACAUGUUUGAAAUGCUUAUAAUAAUAGUUUAGUUAGUUUAUAUUUUAAUAUUGUUUAAUUUUAACUACUUUAUAAUCUAUUUUAUAGUCUAUUAUAGUUUUUUACCUAAAAAAACUACGGAUUUUAUUUUCUAUUAAUUUUUUUCAUUGUAAAUUUUUAAAAUAUAUUUUCCACAAGAGAUAGACACAAAUAGAAAUAAAAAUCAAAUGUAAUGAAUUUAGUCUUUUAGUUGUUUUUGAAUAGCGGGUAAAUAGUUUGUUUGUUUUUUUUUUUUCCAUUUUUGAAAAGACGGCUUUCCAUAAUCAUUAUUAUUAUUACCGUUUAAUCAAUUUCAUGGACUUAGUUUAUUAUUUAUUAAAAGUAUGUAAAUGAAAAUUCAAUCGUGUAUAAUACAAUAACUAGGUUAAACGAGUCUAUUUUUAUAAAUAUGAAAAUUAAAGAAAAAAAAAGAAGUAUGUUUUGAAUACUAAGGACGAAAUGGGUAUAUCUGUAAGAAGAAAGAAACGUUUUGAAAAUUUAGAAACAAAACAGGCAUGUUGAUUAAGACUUGACCAAUAUAAAGGUAAUUUUGUAUGAAUUUUUCCGUCCGUCAAGUUUCUUUAAGAUGAUGGUGUUUUUCAAGCAAAAUAUGAUGGUGUUUGGGAAGCUGUUGACAAGUCGUGUUGUAAGUACUUGAUUGAUUUUUUAUUAUGCAAACAUCCGUACGUUCUGACAGUAGUCCUUGUGAUGCCCGUGAAGAAAGAGAAGUUAGUAUAGAUAUGAAUUUAUUUCAAAAUAACAUUUUCAUUCAUAUGAAAUAAAUACAAAAUGAUGUGACGAAUCCUUGUAUGACAAUUACUUCUAGGAAUUUUAAUACAGUCAGGAACUUUAGGACAUGAUUCAAUUAUAUCCUUAGCAUUAACAAAAGUUUUCUUCAUAACUUUUUAAUUUCUGCAACUGUCUCAAAACAACCAUUUGUAUCAGCUUCUCCACUUCUCCAUUUAAAAUGGAUAUAAAAUUAUUGAAUAUGACGGAGGGAGUAACAUGUCCACAAGUUUUUAUUUGGAUUUAUUCUCGAACUUUUAGGGGUAAUUGGAACAUUCGUUUUAAGAACAUAACCUAUUUUAGUAAAAUUAUUUCAAAAGAUGUUAUUAAAAGUAGUUACAAAUUUAAUCAAAUUCCAUGGUCUAUGAUAGACAUUAAUAAAUAUUUAUCAGUGUUGAUAUGAAAAAAUUAUCAUUUAUUGACAAUGAUAUACACUAAUAAAUAUUUAUCAGUGUUGAUAUGAAAAGUUAUCAGUGAUAAAUGAUAAAUGANNNNNNNNNNNNNNNNNNNNNNNNNNNNNNNNNNNNNNNNNNNNNNNNNNNNNNNNNNNNNNNNNNNNNNNNNNNNNNNNNNNNNNNNNNNNNNNNNNNNNNNNNNNNNNNNNNNNNNNNNNNNNNNNNNNNNNNNNNNNNNNNNNNNNNNNNNNNNNNNNNNNNNNNNNNNNNNNNNNNNNNNNNNNNNNNNNNNNNNNNNNNNNNNNNNNNNNNNNNNNNNNNNNNNNNNNNNNNNNNNNNNNNNNNNNNNNNNNNNNNNNNNNNNNNNNNNNNNNNNNNNNNNNNNNNNNNNNNNNNNNNNNNNNNNNNNNNNNNNNNNNNNNNNNNNNNNNNNNNNNNNNNNNNNNNNNNNNNNNNNNNNNNNNNNNNNNNNNNNNNNNNNNNNNNNNNNNNNNNNNNNNNNNNNNNNNNNNNNNNNNNNNNNNNNNNNNNNNNNNNNNNNNNNNNNNNNNNNNNNNNNNNNNNNNNNNNNNNNNNNNNNNNNNNNNNNNNNNNNNACCCGUGUGCUGGGCCGGUUCAAGCCAAUAAAUUUGGUUUUUGGGCCGGUUCAAGCGGUUUCGGUUGGUUUUUUUAGCCGGUUCGAAGUUUUUGGGAGUGGUUCUGUACUACACCGAAUUAAUUAUGUAAUAAUUUAGCACUUAGCUUAAUUUAGGAGCCAAAAAUCAGUCCAUUUUAGGGUGUUUUUUUUAUUUAUGCAUGUGAUGUAUGAUUAAAUUACUUUAAAUUUGUAUGUGCAUUUUGAAUGUCAUAUAGAUUUAAAAUCCCACCAUAGGUUAACAUGUUCAUGCAUUAAAAUGUAUGAUAUAAAGGUUAUAUUGUAUUGUAUGCAUGUUAAUUGAUUAAUAUGGAAAUUAAUUAAUAUGAUUAAUUAAUUAUUUAAUUAAUUAAGUUAUUCUUGAUUAAAUAUGAUUUAAUCAAAUUAAUUAAUUAUUGUUUGAUUUAAUUUAAUUAAAUAUGAUUUAAUUAAAGUUAAAUAAAUUAAAAUCCAUAUUAAUUGAUUGUUUUUAUAUUAUAUAUUGAUAAAAUGAUUGAUUAAGUUUAAAAGUUUUUAUAAGUGUUAUAAAAUAAAUUAGACUUUUAAAAUCAAUAACAAAGAUUAAAUGCAUGCUCACUUAGGUUAAACAUAUCUUCCAUUUUUCAUAGAAAUAGGUCGAUAUCUUGUAAAACUGGUUACAAAAGGCUCACCUGGUUCAAUCUUGUCAACAAGUCAGAUAAGAUGACUAAGGUUGGAGGUUCUUAAGUUGACGGUUUACGGAACACCUCCUACCUGGAGAUCGUAAUCAGUUCUUGAGCCUAGUUAACCUAGUUUUAUGAGCAUUCGUGAGAGGUGUGAGGUAAUAAAAAUGGUUUUUCACCUAGACAUCAUAGGUUAAAAUCCUGUAUAAUGGUUAUACUUGGAUGUUUUAUCUAGACUUAAGAUUUGUUUAAGUUAGCCUAAAUAUAAAUCUUGAAGUUUGGAUUACCCUAUUUUUUUCUUUUAGAACACUUCAACUAGAGAAAAAUAAUGUAUUUUAGCUCUAGUGUCCCUAAGAGUUCACACCGUGAGGUCCAUGCAGGGCUUUGUGCCGUGCAUAGGAGCGGCCUCCCUUCGGAGAGUGUUUGCAUGGAUCAAAAUCAAGGUGAAUAGGGGAAGUAGUUCAUAGUAAGUGGGUGAGGGAUUUGUGGCAGCACAUCCCACGGUCUCUUCCAUUAGGUCGCACCGUGAGAUUUCUAUAAUAUGCCUGCUUGUCUGCCCUGGAGCGACGUUCCCUUCGGAGGGUUGUAUUAUAGGAUUCGGAACACCGCGAACUCCAAAACUGGAUAGGAUUUCUUAGAUUAGUUUUCAUAAAUGAUUCUAAUCUAUGAAAUCUGAAAAUGGUGGGUAACACUUACAAGAAUUACUAAGUUGUUAGUAUAUUCUUGACUAAAGUAGCGAUAACUAAGUGCUAUAAAGAAUAAAGAGUUAUUCUUGAGAUAGCAUCUAGUCAAGAUUGUCUUGGUUCAAAGGAGGAAUAAUCAACUACCCUUCGGAGAAGGUUGUUCUAAACCUUUGAAAUAUUGUUGCAAAAUACAAAUAAUGAAAGGGUACAUUAUUAGUAAUUGCUAAAUUAGAUUGGAUAUUUUUUAUGAUUAUAGUUUUUUCCUAAAAGGAAUAUGUUUGUUUUUCAGCAUGAAUAGCUCAAUAGUUCGACUUUUAGCUUCCGAAAAACUUAAUGGCGAUAAUUAUGCGGCUUGGAAAUCAAAUCUUAACACAAUACUAGUGGUUGGUGAUUUAAGAUUUGUCUUAACUGAGGAAUGUCCUCAAAACCCUGCCUCUAAUGAUAACCGAACUAGUCGGGAUGCAUAUGAUCGAUGGAUAAAAGCUAAUGAAAAAGCCGUGUCUACAUUCUUGCCAGCAUGUCUGAUGUAUUGGCAAAGAAACAUGAAUCCUUAGCCACGGCUAAAGAGAUUAUGAAUUCAUUAAGGGGAAUGUUUGGGCAACCAGAAUUGUCCUUAAGACACGAGGCAGUCAAAUACAUUUACACUAAGCGUAUGAAGGAAGGGACCUCUGUUAGAGAACAUGUUCUUGACAUGAUGAUGCACUUCAACAUCGCUGAAGUGAAUGGUGGUCCCAUCGAAGAGGUUAAUCAAGUUAGUUUUAUCUUAGAGUCUCUUCCGAAGAGCUUCAUUCCAUUCCAAACGAAUGCGUCUUUGAACAAGAUAGAAUUUAACUUGACAACCCUUCUGAAUGAACUCCAGCGAUUCCAAAACCUUACUAUGGGUAAAGGAAAACAAGUGGAAGCAAAUGUUGCUACCACAAAAAGAAAAUUUAUAAGAGGAUCGUCCUCUAAAACCAAAGCUGGACCCUCAAAACCUAAUGCUCAAAUAAAAAAGAAGGGAAAGGGAAAGACUCCCAAACAGAACAAGGGUAAGAAAAAGGUGCAGAAAAGGUAAGUGUUACCAUUGUGGCCAAAACGGGCACUGGUUAAGAAAUUGCCCAAAAUACCUUGCAGAAAAAAAGGCAGAGAAGGAAACACAAGGUAAAUAUGAUUUACUAGUUGUAGAAACAUGUUUAGUGGAAUAUGAAAAUUGUACCUGGAUACUAGAUUCAGGAGCCACUAAACCAUAUUUGCUUCUCAUUUCAGGAAAAUAGUUCUUGAAAAAGCUUUCAGAAGGCGAGAUCACUCUCAAGGUUGGAACAGGAGAGAUGGUCUCAACUUCAGCAAUGGGAGAUUUAAAGUUGUUUUUUAGAGAUAGAUAUGUCAUACUUAAGAAUGUCUUAUAUGUACCUCAAAUGAAAAGAAAUUUAAUAUCUAUCUCUUGUAUUUUGGAACAAAUGUAUAGAAUAUCUUUUGAAAUUAAUGAAGCGUUCGUUUUCUAUAAAGGUAUUCUAGUUUGUUCUGCUAUACUUGAAGACAACUUAUAUAAGUUAAGACCAACCAGAGCAAAUUUUGUCUUAAAUACUGAAAUAUUCAGAACAGCUGAAACUCAGAAUAAAAGACAAAAAGUUUCUUCUAAUGCCUAUUUAUGGCACUUAAGACUUGGUCACAUAAAUCUCAAUAGGAUUGGGAGAUUAGUUAAAAGUGGGCUUCUAAAUCAGUUAGAAAAUAAUACUUUACCUCUUGUGAAUCUUGUCUUGAAGGAAAAAUGACCAAGAGAUCUUUUACUGGAAAAGGUCUAAGAGCCAAAACCCUUAGAGCUCGUACAUUCGGACCUUUGUGGACCAAUGAAUGUCAAAGCUCGAGGUGGAUAUGAAUAUUUCAUUAGCUUCAUUGAUGAUUAUUCAAGGUAUGGUCAUAUUUACCUAAUACAUCAUAAGUCUAAUAGUCUUGAAAAGUUCAAAGAAUAUAAGGCUGAAGUAGAAAACGAAUUAGGUAAAACAAUAAAAAUACUUCGAUCAGAUCGAGGUGGAGAGUAUAUGGACUUACGAUUCCGAGACUAUUUAAUAGAAAAUGGAAUCCAGUCACAACUCUCUGCACCUAGUACACCUCAACAGAACGGUGUAUCAGAAAGAAGAAACUGGACCUUGUUAGACAUGGUUCGCUCUAUGAUGAGUUUUUCUCAGAUGUCAGAUUCUUUUUGGGAUAUGCUUUAGAAACAGCUGCUUAUAUUUUGAAUAAUGUUCCCUCUAAAAGUGUUUCAGAAACACCUUAUGAGCUAUGGAAAGGGCGUAAAGGCAGUUUACGUCAUUUUAGAAUUUGGGGUUGUCCAGCACACGUGUUGGUACAAAAUCCUAAGAAAUUGAAACAUCGUUCAAAAUUAUGCUUUUUCAUAGGUUAUCCAAAAGAAUCAAGAGGUGGUUUGUUUUAUGAUCCUCAAGAAAAUAAAAUAUUUGUGUCAACAAAUGCCACAUUCUUAGAGGAAGACCACAUCAGGGAUCAUCAACCUCGUAGUAAACUAGUAUUAAAAGAAAUUUCCAAAAGUGCUAUAGAUAAACCUAGUUCAUCCACUAAGGUAGUUGAUAAGACUAGGAAAUCUGGUCAAUCACAUCCUUCUCAACAGUUGAGAGAGCCUCGACGUAGUGGGAGGGUUGUUCAUCAGCCUGAUCGCUAUUUGGGUUUAAUUGAAACUCAAGUCGUCAUACCUGACGAUGGCAUAGAGGAUCCAUUAACCUAUAAACAGGCAAUGAAAGAUGUAGAUCGUGACCAAUGGAUCAAAGCCAUGGACCUCGAAAUGGAGUCUAUGUACUUUAAUUCUGUCUGGACUCUAGUAGAUCAACCAAAUGACGUAAAACCUAUUGGUUGUAAAUGGAUCUACAAGAGAAAACGAGACCAUGCCGGUAAAGUACAGACUUUCAAGGCUCGACUUGUGGCAAAGGGUUAUACCAGAGAGAGGGAGUAGACUAUGAGGAAACUUUCUCUCCUGUUGCCAUGUUAAAGUCAAUUAGAAUACUCUUAUCCAUCGCCACUUUUUAUGAUUAUGAAAUUUGGCAGAUGGAUGUCAAGACAGCUUUUUUGAACGGUAAUCUUGAAAGAGUAUCUAUAUGUCUCAACCAGAGGGGUUUAUAAAACAAGAUCAAGAACAAAAGGUUUGUAAGCUUAAAAAAUCCAUUUAUGGAUUAAAACAAGCUUCUAGAUCCUGGAAUAUAAGAUUUGAUAUUGCGAUCAAAAUCUUAUGGCUUUGAACAAAAUGUUGACGAGCCUUGUGUUUACAAAAGGUCGUCAAUUCCAUUAUAGCAUUUUUUAGUCUUAUAUGUAGAUGAUAUUCUACUUAUUGGAAAUGACGUAGGAUAUCUUACUGAUAUCAAGAAAUGGCUAGCUAUGCAAUUUCAAAUGAAAGAUCUGGGAGAUGCACAAUACGUUCUCGGAAUCCAAAUUGUUCGAAACCGUAAGAACAAAACACUAGCCAUGUCUCAAGCAUCUUACAUAGACAAAAUGUUGUCUAGAUAUAAAAUGCAGAAUUCCAAAAAGGGUCUGCUGCCGUACAGAUAUGGAAUUCAUUUGUCAAAGGAACAAUGUCCUAAGACACCUCAAGAAGUUGAGGAUAUGAGAAAUAUUCCCUAUGCUUCCGCUGUUGGAAGUUUAAUGUAUGCAAUGUUAUGUACUAGACCUGACAUUUGCUACUCAGUAGGGAUGGUCAGUAGGUAUCAAUCCAAUCAUGGACGUGAUCACUGGACAGCCGUUAAAAACAUUCUACAUGCUCAUGUAUCGUACAAAGGAUCUGAUCCUUACUGGAUACACUGAUUCAGAUUUCCAAACUAAUAAAGAUGUUAGAAAGUCUACAUCAGAUCAGUAUUUACUCUAAAUGGAGGAGCAGUAGUUUGGAGAAGCAUAAAGCAAACUUGUAUAGCUGAUUCCACAAUGGAAGCUGAUCAUUUUACAAAAGCCCUCACGGCUAAAGUGUUUGAGGGUCACCUACACAGUUUAGGUGUACGAUGUUUGUAAACUAGGACAAGUGGGAGACUUAUUGGCCAUGUGCCCUAGUUUCAUAUAUAUUCUCUCACACCACAUCUCUCAUACCACUAGGAAUUUUAGUCCAAGUGGGAGUUUGUUGGAAUUUUUUGUCCUAAAACUCGUAGUUUGUAAAUCAUAUUCUAUUCAAUAAAGUUGUUAUUGAGAAAUUAAAUAUUAUAAUCUUAAAUCCAAUAAAUCAAAGUUCCAAGGCUAUUUUUUGAAUAAACUUGAACUUUAUGUGUAAACAUAAACGUGGAUCAAGUUCGAGUAUAUAGCCUAAAUAGUCUAUAGUAUAUGAAAUAAAGGUUGGGCGCCUUAUUUGAGAGACUAUGGAUGCGGCCCACUUUGUAGUACAAACGAUGUGAUCCUAAUCGUUCAUGUAGAGACAUGAAAGUGGGGGCAUCCUAUGUAAAAUGUUUACAUAAGACUGAACCAUGAAUUAGUCAUUUUUACGUUAUAACACCGUUUACUGUUUAAAACUGACUAUCUCAAUUAUUGAUGACCUAGGUAACUUAGUCUUAAUCCUGAGUUAACUAUGAACUCCUGUUCAUACGAGAUUAUCCUUAGAUCUGCAUAGGUGAGGGCAGCUCAUCAGCGUUGGCCCAAUAAGCCUCCCAUUUCAGGGGUAAGAUCGGGUGGAUAGCUGGGAACAUAGGGUACAAGAUGGAAUUCACUCCUACCCGCUUUAGGGUUAGUAGAUAGGUUGCUCUCUUAAGCACUGAAUCCAAGUCUUGAACAAGGGGCCCCACCCUCUCAUUGGCCCGAGAGGGAUUAAGUUUAUAGGUUGAACCUUAAACCAAUUGUUCAAUAGUGGAUUAGUGGGACUUAAGGAGCAAGAUGUAAUCUUGGGGGUAAAACGGUAUUUUGACCCAGCCAAGGUUACGAGCAACCUGUGAAGGAUUAACUUACUGAUUAUGGUUUUAUCAAAUGGACACAAAUAUAUCUAUAGUGAGGGGAGUGCAACUACGGGACUUUAGUGGAAUGACCCGUUAGUUAACGAAUGUUGAUUAACUCGGUUUAAAAGAGUUUAGCUAGUUAAUCUUGAAUCGUUGGAGCCCAUGAUCUAUAGGUCCAUUAGGUUCCUCUGCUAGCUCAUAUGGAUUAAACUUAGAACAGUGUGAUGAAAUAAGUCGAAUUGUUCGAAUAGGGAGAAGAAAGGAAACCGACAUAUACAGUGAUAUAAUCGUCGGUCUUCUAAUUAGAAAUAGAGCUUUAUGUUUUACAUACUAUAAGUAUGAAUGCGGAUUCAUACUAAGAAGCUCGGAAUUGGUCAAAAAUAGUAAAAAGUCAAAAUGUUGACUUUUGACUUUGAAAAGUCAAACUUUUGACCGGCCUUAUAUUCAAAUGUGAUUUGAAUUUUGGAAAAAUGAAUGCGGAUUCAUGCUCGGGAGGUUGGAAUUAGUCAAGACGGACAAAAUGGUAAAAGUCAAAAUAUUGACUUUUGACUUAGAAAAGUCAAAGUUUGACUUUGGACUAGAAAAAUCUAAUGACAUUUUACCCUUGGACUAAGUUAGUGGGAAAAUCCAACAUUUUGUUGGAUAAUCCACUAACUCUUAGUGGGAUAUGUGGCUAUAUGAGAUAUAGACACCUAGCCCACUAAGUUCCACUAAUUGUUAGUGGAAUAUUAGGUGUUGAGAUUUGGCAAUUGAAUUGCAUGCAUUUUUGCAUGUAAUUAGGCUAUAAAUAGAGAUGUUUUCAAAUGUUGAAGGACUUUUGCCUCUUUUAUCAUUUUCAUAAUCUCAACAAAAGAAGAA
RNAcentral lists this long non-coding RNA (26208 nucleotides) under Cucumis sativus (cucumber). RNAcentral's name for it is "long non-coding RNA (CSAT_LNC001468)". Lineage: Eukaryota; Viridiplantae; Streptophyta; Magnoliopsida; Cucurbitales; Cucurbitaceae. The record is from RNAcentral.